AAAAAGACUCUAUUUAGAGUCACUGCAUAUUCAGCAUACAAAAGAC
Ixodes scapularis (black-legged tick) is the source of this 46-nucleotide non-coding RNA. The record is from Rfam. Lineage: Eukaryota; Metazoa; Arthropoda; Arachnida; Ixodida; Ixodidae.